AACCCCUGGUGGAAAACCC
Molecule: microRNA, 19 nt
Filed under: Tribolium castaneum (red flour beetle)
Lineage: Eukaryota; Metazoa; Arthropoda; Insecta; Coleoptera; Tenebrionidae
Description: tca-miR-3892-5p
Source: miRBase by way of RNAcentral